AUGUGCCCCGGACACUCCGGUUCCUCCGCGCCGUCCGCACCCACCUCACGGCUGCUCGCUACGUUUUGUAAGCC
Molecule: small RNA, 74 nt
Filed under: Xanthomonas campestris
Lineage: Bacteria; Pseudomonadati; Pseudomonadota; Gammaproteobacteria; Lysobacterales; Lysobacteraceae
Description: sX9
Rfam family: Xanthomonas sRNA sX9
Source: RNAcentral